GUAAGGAAUAUUGGUCAAUGGAGGCAACUCUGAACCAGCCAUGCCGCGUGCAGGAUGACGGCCCUAUGGGUUGUAAACUGCUUUUGUACCAGAGAAAACCCCAGUACGUGUACUGGGUUGAUAGUAUGGUAAGAAUAAGCAUCGGCUAACUUCGUGCCAGCAGCCGCGGUAAGACGAAGGAUGCAAGCGUUAUCCGGAUUCAUUGGGUUUAAAGGGUGCGUAGGCGGACUGAUAAGUCAGUGGUGAAAUCUCUCAGCUUAACUGAGAAACUGCCAUUGAUACUGUCGGUCUAGAGUAUAGAUGACGUUGGCGGAAUAUGACAUGUAGUGGUGAAAUACUUAGAUAUGUCAUAGAACACCGAUUGCGAAGGCAGCUAACGAAACUAUAACUGACGCUGAGGCACGAAAGUGCGGGGAUCAAACAGGAUUAGAAACCCCUGUAGUCC
Molecule: ribosomal RNA, 445 nt
Filed under: uncultured bacterium
Lineage: Bacteria
Description: bacterial SSU rRNA
Rfam family: Bacterial small subunit ribosomal RNA
Source: RNAcentral